This is a long non-coding RNA of Sycon ciliatum, 219 nucleotides long. RefSeq lists it as uncharacterized. The record is from RefSeq and is a predicted model, not a curated record. The transcript has 3 exons. Lineage: Eukaryota; Metazoa; Porifera; Calcarea; Leucosolenida; Sycettidae.
GUGCUAGCUUGGAGUGAACCUUCCAAAGCCUGUGGUUCAUGUACAUGUAGCAACGGAGUUGUCAUGUCGUGCCCAAACAUUGCCAAUAUUUCUUUGCGCUCUAACAAUUUGACGUAUCUCAGUGGCUCAGCAUUUCAGAAUAACAAGAUCGUUACGGAUAUAGAUUUGUACCGUAAUCAACUUGUCCACCUACCUGCCGGGCUGUUCAAAGCCACAACC